RNAcentral lists this ribosomal RNA (760 nucleotides) under uncultured bacterium. RNAcentral describes it as "bacterial SSU rRNA". It matches the Rfam family "Bacterial small subunit ribosomal RNA", at positions 8 to 796 of the family's 1533-position model. The record is from RNAcentral.
AGAGUUUGAUCAUGGCUCAGGAUAAACGCUGGCGGCGUGCCUAAUCAAUGCGAGUCGUGCGGACCUUCGGGUCAGCGGCGUCCGGGUGAGUAACGCGUAGCUAACCUGCCUACCAGUGGGGGAUACCCGUCAGAAAUGGCGGCUAAUACCGCAUAGAGUGACGAUGCGAGAGUGUCGGCAUGAAAGCCGCAAGGCGCUGGGAGAUGGGGCUGCGUCUGAUUAGCUAGUUGGUGGGGUAAAGGCCUACCAAGGCGAUGAUCAGUAGCUGGUCUGAGAGGAUGGUCAGCCACACUGGGACUGAGACAUGGUCCAGAGCUCUACGGGGUUUAGCAUGAAGGGAUAUUGCGCAAUGGGCGAAAGCCUGACGCAGCAACGCCGCGUGUGGGACGACGCCUUUCGGGGUGUAAACCACUUUUCCCAAGGAAGAAGAAUGUGACGGUACUUGGGGAAUAAGCCUUGGCUAAGUACGUGCCAGCAGCCGCGGUAAUACGUACGAGGCAAGCGUUAUCCGGAAUUACUGGGCGUAAAGCGCAUGCAGGCGGGCUGUUAAGUAGGGCGUGAAAUCUCCCGGCCUAACUGGGAGGGGUCGCUCUAAACUGGCAGUCUUGAGGAUGGCAGAGGUAGGUGGAAUUCCUGGUGUAGUGGUGAAAUGCGUAGAGAUCAGGAGGAACACCGGUGGCGAAGGCGGCCUACUGGGCCAUCACUGACGCUGAGAUGCGAAAGCUCGGGGAGCGAACGGGAUUAGAUACCCUAGUAGUCC